CCUACGGGCGGCAGCAGUGGGGAAUAUUAGACAAUGGGCGCAAGCCUGACGCAGCAACGCCGCGUGAAGGAAGAAGGCUUUCGGGUUGUAAACUUCUUUUCUCAGGGACGAAGCAAGUAACGGUACCUGAGGAAUAAACCACGGCUAACUCCGUGCCAGCAGCCGCGGUAAUACGUAGGUGGCAAGCGUUAUCCGGAUUUACUGGGGGUAAAGGGCGUGUAGGCGGGAACGCAAGUGAGAUGUGAAAACCACGGGCUCAACCUGUGGACUGCAUUUGAUACUGGUAUGCUUGAGUACUGGAGAGGGAGACGGAAUUCCUGGUGUAGCGGUGAAAUGCGUAGAUAUCAGGAGGAACACCAGUGGCGAAGGCGGUCUGCUGGACAGAAACUGACGCUGAGGCGCGAAAGCGUGGGGAGCAAACAGGAUUAGAUACCCGAGUAGUC
This 443-nucleotide ribosomal RNA is filed under the name uncultured bacterium. RNAcentral describes it as "partial 16S ribosomal RNA". It matches the Rfam family "Bacterial small subunit ribosomal RNA", at positions 338 to 795 of the family's 1533-position model. The record is from RNAcentral.